This 301-nucleotide ribosomal RNA is filed under the name uncultured bacterium. RNAcentral describes it as "partial 16S ribosomal RNA". It matches the Rfam family "Bacterial small subunit ribosomal RNA", at positions 509 to 808 of the family's 1533-position model. The record is from RNAcentral.
CAGUGCCACGGUAAUACGAGGGGGGCAAGCGUUGUUCGGAAUUAUUGGGCGUAAAGGGUGCGUAGGCGGCUUGACAAGUCUUGUGUGAAAUCUAUGGGCUCAACCCAUAGUCUGCACGGGAAACUGUCGGGCUUGAGAAUGGGAGAGGUGAGUGGAAUUUCCGGUGUAGCGGUGAAAUGCGUAGAUAUCGGAAGGAACACCUGUGGCGAAAGCGGCUCACUGGACCAUUUCUGACGCUGAUGCACGAAAGCUAGGGGAGCAAACAGGAUUAGAUACCCGGGUAGUCCCUGUCUCUUAUACA